Molecule: non-coding RNA, 29 nt
Filed under: Rattus norvegicus (Norway rat)
Lineage: Eukaryota; Metazoa; Chordata; Mammalia; Rodentia; Muridae
Source: RNAcentral
UUGUUUAAAAUGUUUACGGGUUUUGUUUA